CCUUUGCAAGGUCUUUGAUAUGAAAUAACCGGUCAAGAGCUUUUGUGGUUAAAAAAGUUUUCCAACAUGAUUUCUCAAGCCUUAAAUAAAGUUAUCGGUAGAAAGUAUAUUGAAAUAUCACGAUCUUGGCUGUCGACAGGGACUGUAUGGGGCACUGCAGGUGUUAUAGGAUUGGUGUAUUACACAAAUUGGAAACUGAUUCUUGGAAAAUUACCAUAUAUCAAAGGCCAAUUCAAGACAGAAGAAUAAAUACAGUAUGUUAGAAUUAUAAAAGAGAAUGAUACCCACUGAAAUGAAGAUGAAUUUCUAAUUGAUCCUGUUUGAUGGUGGAAUGCAUAUUAUUUUACGAGAAUGAAGCAAUACAUAGAACUAAUAAUUAAACCUAAAUAUUGCCUAUGUUUGAUUACAUCUAAUCUUCAUAAAAUAUUUAUUGUUUGCCUUUGAUGUUCAAGUAAAUGAGAGCUGCAUGUCAUUAAAAAUAAAUUUAUUGAGUGAUAACCAAAAUCUAUGAUUGUGAAUCUAGUCAUCUCGUUUAUUUAAGGAAAUGUAAUAAAAAUACAUUUCUCAUUAGAAAUUAAAAUAUUCAAUAAAAUACAGAUUAAAACAACUAAGUUUUCAAUUAUACACAAGAUUUAGCUAGUUAAUACAGUAUAAGGUUGUAUGCAAAGGAAAUCAGGAAUUGUAUUAUCUAUACAUCGCUUAAUAAUAUAACAAUGUACUUCAGAAAAUACAGUACAGUCUCAAUGUGCCAUAAAUUGCAAAUCAAUUAUUUUAUGUAUAUCACCAAGGAUAUGCCAAUGACUUUACUAAGUGGCAAUCCUGCAAAAGAUAAAUACUGUACAGUACUAACAAGAUGCUCUACAAAGUCUGAUAUGAGUGGAGUUGUUUUUAGUCACUAGAUAAAACCCUGUUACAGUGCCAGGAAUUGAGCGAAGGACCCUGGGAUUAGGAGGCAAGCAUCUUUACCACCAAGCUACUACAGCAUACAGUUUCACCCCAAAGUUACUUCAUUACCAUCAGGUCAAGCAGGGAUUGUACUGUACUGUACUACUAUCUAGAUCACAGGAAGUUGUCAAUACCAAUUUAUGGCAAAAGGUGCAAUACUGUACUCUAUAAAUGUCAGUUAUAAAUACAAAUAGAAUUUGAAGAAGCUCUUUUAAAAAAAUUGUUACAUCUUAAGAAGCACAAGGUUAUAUGAGACAAUCUUCAGUUGUUGUUCCUGCUAACUGUAUUCAUAAUUACAAAACUGAAAUGUAAUGCCAUCUUCAUAAUUUUAUUGUCAUUGCUUGCAAAAUAGAGAGGAAAAUAAUAAUUAUUCUCCGGGCA
Molecule: long non-coding RNA, 1326 nt
Organism: Anneissia japonica
Lineage: Eukaryota; Metazoa; Echinodermata; Crinoidea; Comatulida; Comatulidae
Exons: 3
Source: RefSeq, a predicted model, not a curated record